Molecule: long non-coding RNA, 1979 nt
Organism: Gavialis gangeticus (Gharial)
Lineage: Eukaryota; Metazoa; Chordata; Crocodylia; Gavialidae
Exons: 3
Source: RefSeq, a predicted model, not a curated record
UUUUUAUCAGAGAAUUUACAAUUUUUAAACAGAGAAAACCAGGAUCCCUGGUAACCACAGAUGCAUUCUUUGUCAUGUAAUAAUGUACAGUGUUUAGAGUUAUACAAGACUAGACCAUUGUUAUCUGGUAUCCAAUUUAAUAGCUCUUGAACUUUGUUUGAUUAUGGCCCAGUUUAAGAAAUCACGCCUUUAAAUGCAAGCAGGUGCUUAAAACUUAAGCCCAGACUUUCAUGAAUACUAUUGAUUUUAUGCAUGUGUAAGUGUUUUCCUAAAUAAGUACCUGUACACCAUGCUUGUGGCUGCUUAGUUAUGUAUUUGCUAGGCUUAAAUGUAUAAGAUAGUUAUUACCCUUUCUCUUUCAGGCUUCAGUAGGAUGUGUCCUAGAGAUCAGAUCCUGCCUCAGUCAUUAUUGUUCAUUAAGGAUUUCAUCGGAUGACAAAACACUGCUUCAAAAGGAAGAGUAAAGAACACUACCAGCCUGGAGCAGCUGAGACCCGGUAUGAAGACACUCUCCAGAGAAGUGCAAGUGUUAUUCCUUUCUCAUCUUCAGUCUUGAUCUUACAAGUCACCUACCCCAUGAAUAGGUCCAGCCUCCUACCUGCUGGUCAGAGCAUUGAGGCCGGACAAAUUAAACUUACCAGACUUUGCUUCAACAAGCAUUCCCCAUAAACAUUUGUAAACUCAGGUUUAUAAUCAGGCUAGAAACUUUCUUUAAAUUAAAAAGUUGAUUCUGCAAAAGUUGGUGGCACAUCUGUACAGGAAUCUUCUCACUCAUUAUGCACAAGUACAUUUUUCAAGUCCUGCCCAAUGAACAAGGGCCAGGCUAAUCACAGAAAGUAACUACCUGCUGGGUACCCACUCAGACAGUUGCUUUCAGCAUGAAUGCAAUGGUUGAUGGGGCACAGCUGUGUUUUCAGGGCACCAUAUAACACCUAGCUGUCUGCAAAGUGCUGGAGGAAGUGGGAAAUGAAAGAGGAAAGCAAGAAAUACAACUGGUUGCUUUAUGAGUAAUGGGCAAGAUGGCCCUGUGCCAAGAAUAUAACAUGCCAAUUACUACUUCACCACAAUGUUGCAUAUACUAAAAGUGUCUAGGGUGGAUACACAGUCUGGCAAUGCUGGCUGUUGGCAGUGGGAGCUCCAUUUAAAGCCUGUAAUGAGGACUUGUAAGAAUAUGUGAGCUGCUGCGCAACAGAGAAAACGAGAUGAACCAAUUGCACAAAGUGCAAUUCAGCACCUAAUUCCUACUAAGUUACAAUAGGAAUGAACUUCCACAAAGAUCUAUGAAAAUUUCCUUUAGCUCUUCUUACACAAACCAAACCUGAGCCCUGAAAAUGCAUUCACUAUUAUGUAGUUGCUAAAUGGAUGAAGCACUAUUUGGCCUACAGUUUGGUUGCCCAGGUGGACACCUAAAUCACAUUCUUUUGUUUGUUUCGCAGUUGGAUAGCUACACCUUUUAGGAGAAUAGCAAAUCAUUUUGGUCAAGUGAAAGUUCUUCUCUUAGUUUGCAAAUGCAGGAAUUUGUGCAAUAAAAAGGUACACCCUGAUUAUCCAAGCUGACAAACUUCCUUAUACUAAUGGUUAUAAAACACAAAUAAAAAAGGUGCAUGCUCAUGGUCAAACUGAACUUGAUCAUAUGGUCAAAAACAUUGUUUUGUGUUAUUUGAACAUCUUGCCUGUGGGUUACAACCAAGAACAGACCUAGCAGCUAAUAUUUUCAUGCAGUGUCCCAACUUGAAAAGGUUUGCAAAGACCAAGCAGUUUUCAGUAAUGAAUAUCUCACAAAAAUGACCUUUACUAAUACUGGGCUUUGCUGCAACUGCUAGCUGCCUCAGGUUAGAGGAAGUGAUAUGUAGCAAGCUUUGACUUAUGUCCGUUUAGAGGGGAAAGAACAGUACUUGAUUAAUUUUGCUAUUGAGGUAGUUUAUUUAAUAGUACAGUGUUUAACAAUGAGACAACAAGGUACUUGUUAAGGACCUAAA